This 450-nucleotide ribosomal RNA is filed under the name uncultured Gammaproteobacteria bacterium. RNAcentral describes it as "bacterial SSU rRNA". It matches the Rfam family "Bacterial small subunit ribosomal RNA", at positions 45 to 484 of the family's 1533-position model. Lineage: Bacteria; Pseudomonadati; Pseudomonadota; Gammaproteobacteria. The record is from RNAcentral.
GGCCUAACACAUGCAAGUCGAACGGCAGCACAGCAGAGCUUGCUCUGUGGGUGGCGAGUGGCGGACGGGUGAGUAAUGCAUCGGGACCUACCCAGACGUGGGGGAUAACGUAGGGAAACUUACGCUAAUACCGCAUACGUCCUACGGGAGAAAGCAGGGGAUCUUCGGACCUUGCGCGGUUGGACGGACCGAUGUGCGAUUAGCUAGUUGGUAAGGUAAUGGCUUACCAAGGCGACGAUCGCUAGCUGGUCUGAGAGGAUGAUCAGCCACACUGGAACUGAGACACGGUCCAGACUCCUACGGGAGGCAGCAGUGGGGAAUAUUGGACAAUGGGCGCAAGCCUGAUCCAGCAAUGCCGCGUGUGUGAAGAAGGCCCUCGGGUUGUAAAGCACUUUUAUCAGGAACGAAAUACCACGGGCUAAUACCUUGUGGGGCUGACGGUACCUGAGG